This 451-nucleotide ribosomal RNA is filed under the name uncultured bacterium. Its description in RNAcentral is "bacterial SSU rRNA". It matches the Rfam family "Bacterial small subunit ribosomal RNA", at positions 329 to 794 of the family's 1533-position model. The record is from RNAcentral.
GACCAGACUCCUACGGGAGGCAGCAGUGGGGAAUAUUGGGCAAUGGGCGCAAGCCUGACCCAGCAACGCCGCGUGAAGGAAGAAGGCUUUCGGGUUGUAAACUUCUUUUAUGAGGGACGAAACAAAUGACGGUACCUCAUGAAUAAGCCACGGCUAACUACGUGCCAGCAGCCGCGGUAAUACGUAGGUGGCAAGCGUUGUCCGGAUUUACUGGGUGUAAAGGGCGUGUAGCCGGGUCGACAAGUCAGAUGUGAAAUCCUGCGGCUUAACCGCAGAACUGCAUUUGAAACUGUUGAUCUUGAGUACUGGAGAGGCAGACGGAAUUCCUAGUGUAGCGGUGAAAUGCGUAGAUAUUAGGAGGAACACCAGUGGCGAAGGCGGUCUGCUGGACAGCAACUGACGGUGAGGCGCGAAAGCGUGGGGAGCAAACAGGAUUAGAUACCCGGGUAAA